Molecule: ribosomal RNA, 465 nt
Filed under: uncultured bacterium
Lineage: Bacteria
Description: partial 16S ribosomal RNA
Rfam family: Bacterial small subunit ribosomal RNA
Source: RNAcentral
GACGAACGCUGGCGGCGUGCUUAACACAUGCAAGUCGAACGGAAAGGCCCUGCUUGCAGGGUACUCGAGUGGCGAACGGGUGAGUAACACGUGGGUGAUCUGCCCUGCACUUCGGGAUAAGCCUGGGAAACUGGGUCUAAUACCGGAUAGGAGCCACGUUCAGCGUGAUGGUUGGAAAGUUUUUUCGGUGUUGGAUGAGCUCGCGGGCUAUCGGCUUGUUGGUGGGGUAAUGGCGUACCAAGCCGCCAACGGGUAGCCGGCCUGAGAGAGUGGACGGCCACAUUGAGACUGAGGUGCGGCCCAGACUCCUACGGGAGGCAGCAGUGGGGAAUCUUGCACAAUGGGCGCAAGCCUGAUGCAGCGGCGCCGCGUGGGGGAUGGCGGCCUUCGUGUUGUAGACACCUUUCGCUAGGGACGAAGCUUUUUGUGACGGUACCUAGAUAAGAAGCACCGGCUAACUACGUG